GGCCCUAUCGUCUAACGGUUCAGGACGCCGCCCUCUCACGGCGGUAAUAGGGGUUCGAAUCCCCUUAGGGUCACCA
Molecule: transfer RNA, 76 nt
Filed under: Alicyclobacillus tolerans
Lineage: Bacteria; Bacillati; Bacillota; Bacilli; Caryophanales; Alicyclobacillaceae
Also listed under: 1 other name
Description: tRNA-Glu
Rfam family: tRNA
About the family: Transfer RNA (tRNA) molecules are approximately 80 nucleotides in length. Their secondary structure includes four short double-helical elements and three loops (D, anti-codon, and T loops).
Source: RNAcentral